This 492-nucleotide ribosomal RNA is filed under the name uncultured bacterium. Its description in RNAcentral is "partial 16S ribosomal RNA". It matches the Rfam family "Bacterial small subunit ribosomal RNA", at positions 29 to 507 of the family's 1533-position model. The record is from RNAcentral.
AGUGAACGCUGGCGGUAGGCCUAACACAUGCCAGUCGAACGGCAGCACAGUAAGAGCUUGCUCUUACGGGUGGCGAGUGGCGGACGGGUGAGGAAUACAUCGGAAUCUACUUUUUCGUGGGGGAUAACGUAGGGAAACUUACGCUAAUACCGCAUACGACCUACGGGUGAAAGCAGGGGAUCUUCGUACCUUGCGCGAUUGAAUGAGCCGAUGUCGGAUUAGCUAGUUGGCGGGGUAAAGGCCCACCAAGGCGACGAUCCGUAGCUGGUCUGAGAGGAUGAUCAGCCACACUGGAACUGAGACACGGUCCAGACUCCUACGGGAGGCAGCAGUGGGGAAUAUUGGACAAUGGGCGCAAGCCUGAUCCAGCCAUACCGCGUGGGUGAAGAAGGCCUUCGGGUUGUAAAGCCCUUUUGUUGGGAAAGAAAAGCAGCAGGUUAAUACCCCGCUGUUCUGACGGUACCCAAAGAAUAAGCACCGGCUAACUUCGUG